UAUAUACCUAAUAGAACAAGCAAGACAAGGAGCAAACUGUUGGAAACGGUCCACCAUACAUUUAAAAUAUUCUCUAGGCGUCACUAAAGUUCGCAGCCCCAGGCCCUCAGCUAUAAACUAUGCUUAAAAAGUACCAAACAACUUGAUUGGCUCACCUGCUCUGGAAACAGAGCACGUUAUAAGACAAUUUUCAAGCAAUAAUUGCGCUCUUGCAUGGCGGCCAGACAUGAUAGCCGCCUUACAAAAGACAUUGUGGAUAGAGAGAAAUGGUUUCUUUAUUAUUUGAGAUGGUUCUAAUGUUCUAAGAGCUUGGGAGCCGGGAGGCACAUGGUUGGCCAUUCCAUAUCCGGAGGAAAAGGAGACAAUGAACCGGUAAACAGCAGCCUCAAAGGUUCAUAGUUUUAAAUUUUGAAGCAGCAGACCAAAAUUGACGGCCAAAGCAUGUGCUCUCG
This is a long non-coding RNA of Cucurbita moschata (crookneck pumpkin), 452 nucleotides long. RefSeq lists it as uncharacterized. The transcript is spliced from 2 exons. Lineage: Eukaryota; Viridiplantae; Streptophyta; Magnoliopsida; Cucurbitales; Cucurbitaceae. The record is from RefSeq and is a predicted model, not a curated record.